Long non-coding RNA from Ananas comosus (pineapple), 417 nucleotides. RefSeq lists it as uncharacterized. The record is from RefSeq and is a predicted model, not a curated record. The transcript has 3 exons. Lineage: Eukaryota; Viridiplantae; Streptophyta; Magnoliopsida; Poales; Bromeliaceae.
AGGUUCGCGAAUAAGCCCCUUGGAGAGAAGAUCAGAUACAAGUUGCAUCUGCUGGUAAAGGACGAAAGUGGAUCGGCAACUUUUGUUGUCUUUGAUCGAGAGGCAGAAAAAUUAACUAAAGAUACGAUCUGAAGCUGGUUGGGUUCAUCUUGCGCCACCUUAAAAGCGUGCCGACGGAGUGGAACGUGAUCGUUGUAUCGUUAAGAGUAAUUGCCGGGAAGCCUCGCACGUAGAGGGACAAUUUCGAUUCUAGGACAGUACUCUGCACGCUUCGAUCCACAGGCUUUAUCUAAAUCUUAUCUUUACAAUAUUUUUGUUUAAUUUUGUUUCGGAAUUUUUCUAUAGCUUAAAUUGAAUUUUCGAGUUGUUUUUAAAGAGUAUUGUAAUAAAAGAUCUGAAGGAUUUUCCAACAAUCUA